UACGUAGGGGGCAAACGUUGUCCGGAUUUACUGGGCGUAAAGGAUGCGUAGGCGGACAUUUAAGUCAGAUGUGAAAUACCCGAGCUUAACUUGGGUGCUGCAUUUGAAACUGGGUGUCUAGAGUGCAGGAGAGGUAAGUGGAAUUCCUAGUGUAGCGGUGAAAUGCGUAGAGAUUAGGAAGAACACCAGUGGCGAAGGCGACUUACUGGACUGUAACUGACGCUGAGGAGCGAAAGUGUGGGGAGCGAACAGG
Molecule: ribosomal RNA, 253 nt
Filed under: uncultured bacterium
Lineage: Bacteria
Description: partial 16S ribosomal RNA
Rfam family: Bacterial small subunit ribosomal RNA
Source: RNAcentral